CCCAAAACUGGACACAGUACUCCAGAUGAGGCCUCACCAAUGUCGAAUAGAGGGGAACGAUCACGUCCCUCAAUCUGCUGGCAAUGCCCCUACUUAUACAUCCCAAAAUGCCAUUGGCCUUCUUGACUGUUGACUCAGUGUGGAUGAUUUCUGUCUGGCGUCUCUGUCCCAAGAGAGAUCAACCACGAUCAAACAAAGAGCACAAACAAACCCCUUCCUCCCCUCCCCCCACAAGAUUUGAAAGAAUCUUGUCCCCUUAUUGGUCCUUUGGGUCUGGUGCCAGCCAGGUUAGCUGAGCUGCUUAACCCUUUACAGGUAACAGGAUGUUGCCUCUGGCCAGGAGGGAUUUUAUAGCACUGUAUACAGAAAGGUGGUUACCGUUCCCUUUAUAUUUAUGACAGAAGGUUACUAGGUAAAGGCAAUAUGUAAUGCUAAGCCUACAUAGGUAGAUAUUUUGAGAGUUGAAACCUGACAAAUCACAGAUAUUAGAUAUUUUCAAUUCUAUUAAAACAUAUGUAAUUCUAUAAACAUGAAUUCAUUGAAAUUGCAGAUUUGUGUAAAUAUGUAUGCCAGUGCCUAACAGGCUUUUAUAAAAUGAGAAAUAUGUAUCUUACAUGCUGUAAAUGUAUGGUAUUAACUUUGCAGUCACCAUAAUGUGUAAUGACAGUUUCCUUCCUUUGGGAUUGUCAUUGCAAGAUAAUACAGGAUUUCUUGGUGAAACUUACAAGAUCUUAUAUUCUUUAACUGAUAUUUGUGUUUCCCCUGUACAUAUUUCACCUUUUCAUCAAAACAGUGGAUGGGUUAUAUACAGUAAUUGGUCAUAUACAGUAAUUCAGUGUCAGUUUUUCUAGCAGUUUUCUUAAUGUCUGCAUUUUUUCCAAUAAAUGCAGUAUUCUCUCCCAUAGAGGAAUGCCAUGAUUAAGAGUGUGAGACUUCUGUAUUCCUUUCUUCUGAGCUUCACACAAUGAAUAAGAAGCAUUAAGGGCUGACAAAGUAAUGAAUCUUUUACAGAUUCUGAAUGCUCAGUUCUAGAACGUGUUGUUGCUUAUUACUAAGCAUGUAUAAUUAGAUUUUAACCUGUUUGAUUUUCACACAUUAUGAAAGCAUUAGAGCUUUGAGCAUUGGAAGGGCUAAUACAGGGGCGGGCAAACUUUUUGGCCUGAGGGCCACAUCAGGUUUCCAAAAUUGUAUGGAGGGCCUGUUAGGGGAGGCUGUGCCUCCCCAAACAGCCAGGCGUGGCCCAGCCCCCACCCUAUCCAACCCCCCCUGCUUCUUGGCCCCUGAUGGCCUCCCGGGGACUCCUGCCCCAUCCACCAUCCCCUGCUCCCUGACUGCCCCCUACUGCCCCAUCCAACCCCUCCUCUCAUUCCUGACUACCCCAUCCAACCACCCAUUCUCCCUGUCCCCUGAUCACCCCCAGAAUCCCUGCUCCUGACUGCCCCCAGCUGCGCCAUCCAACUCCUCCUCUCCUUUCUGACUACCCCCACCCUGGGACCCCAGCCCCCAUUCAACCACCCUGUUCCCCACCCUCUGACCGCCCUGACCACACCUCUGACCAUCCCUUCCACUCUAUCCAACCCCCCCCCCGCUCCCUACCCCUUACUGCGCUGCCUGGAGCACCGGUGGCUGGCAGCGCUACAGCCGUGCCACCCCGCUGGAGCCAGCCACCCAUCGUGCAGCACAGAGCACUGGGUCAGGCCAGGCUCUGCAGCACAGAAGCUCGCCGCCCAGAGCAUUGCGCCGCUGGCGCAGUGAGCUGAGGUGCAGGGGAGGGGGGAACAGUGGGGGAGGGGCUGGGGCGAGCAUCCCGAGCCAGGAGCUCAGGGGCCAGGCAGGAGGGUCCUGCUGGCUGGAUGUGGCCCACGGGCCAUAGUUUGCCCACCUCUGGACUAAUAGAUUCAGUUUCAAGCACUAAGGUGUCAGAUUCCCUACUUAUGCUCUGGAUGCACUUGUCUGAUUCCCUGGGGGCACGUUGUGAGGUUUCAGGCCAUGUGGUGCAGUAAAUGCACAUCUUGCCAUUUUCCAAGCUACUAUCAAGAAAACAAAUCAAUGUUAACUAUACUAGAUUUAAAUAUUCUUUCCAUAUUUUUUAACUCACUCUGGCCUGUGUAGUAACAUAGGCACAAUCAGUAUUGUAGUUUUAGAGGUAUAUUGAUGGGUUUAACAGAUGAUGUACCCUCUUGGACUGCAUCAGUUUGAAAAUAAAUGCUUUUGAGACCUCUAAUUCACUUCUGAGGCUGAUGGCCAAUUUGUUAGGGUUGCUUAUAACCUUCAUCUCAACUUUCAGACACCCUGAGUUUCAGAAAGAGGCCACAUCUAUUCUGGUACAUGGCAUCUCUGUUACCAGAAGGAGCCAACAACCCAUUUUAAUCACUAUAAUGCGAAUUCUGUGAAUGGGCAAUCUCAAAAUGUUGGCUUUCAGUAACUGGUGUUCAGCUGGAGCAAACUAUAUAAGAGACGGAUGGUUCUUGAACGUCAUUAAUUGUGACCUGUGUUAGAGUAUUUAGAAAAUGAAAUUUUGCCCUUUCUUAAAUAAAAAUGCUUUAACUAUGAAGUGAUGAAUAUUGGAAAUAUUUUGUAUUUGUUAAAAUGUGUCUCUCACACAGCACAAUGAGAAUUCUCUUUAUACUCAGGUCGAAUAUUUUUCUGGUUAUUUGUUGCUUGGCAACAGCAUAGGGAUUAUUGCCAACUUCUAUACUUGGUAAAUUCCUGAGCAACACUUCCUAAUUUUAGUAUAGAAUGUAAUUACAGGGGCCUAGAGCAUCUCUCCCUCCACCCAUCAGGCUAACACAUAAAGUUAUGGAAAGAGAACUAGAGGGGAAGCUGCCUCUGGGGUCUAGCAAAUCAAUUUAAAAUCCUCCACUACAGGAAUUAUUGGUUGAAAUUGUAUGGAUUGUUCUGCAGGAGGUCAGACUGAAUAAUCACAGUAGUCCCUUCUUGCCUGAAGAUACUAAUCUAAGCAAUUUAUCGUCAUAUGUUGGGAACUCUUCCUUUGGCCUCCUGGGAAGUGAAAUGAAAGAGGACACAGUUGUAAUAUGGCAUGCUCAGUUUGGAAGGAUCUGAUAGUCAACAGCAGUUUGCAAAUACAAAGUUUGAUUGGACCAGCCCUAACUCCCACAGUUGCAUUACUUCUGCACAAAAUGGGAGUGUGCAGAUCAAACUGGGGGGAAACAGAUGGACAACUACUCUACAUGUUGCAGUAGGGUGUUUGGGCUUGUCAGGCCUUAGCUGUGAGAGGAGGCAUUUUGAUCACCCAUCCACAGGCACUAACUCUUCCCUUUUGGCUAUAUGGCAAGAAAACGUGGUGGCUUCGGUUUCUGAGCUGUGGGUCUCACUCAGGGUUUUAAAGUGAAAUAUUGCAGCUGCGGCACUUGGCAUUGAGUUCCAUCAGCAUGGACCUGGUGUGGUUAAACGGGGAGUGAGGCCCAAAGCUUGAGCCUGCUGAAGUUUAAACAAGGGGAAGAGGUGCUGCCAAUGAAUUCAGAAAAUAUCAAACCAUAGAUAAAUGGUGGUCUUUUCCCUGAGUUCCGGUAUUAUGGCUUCUAGCUGGUAAGGAAAAAAUUGGUCUCCAGAAGUAGGUUCAUUCUAUAGGAGAGCUGAAUGAGCAGAGUCAGAAUGCGGACUGCUUUAUGUAUCCAGUGUAUGCUAUUCCUGUCUCAAAACUGCUUCAUAAUGAACCUUUUCCAGCUUCACCACUUUUUGCUGCACUUGACCUUGGAAGGGUCUGAACAAGAAUAAUAGAAGCACUUCAACGAGAGACUGAGGUUCUUUUUAAGGAAAAGCAGCUUGAAAAAUGACAUUUGAUACUUUUGAAUUGGCACCUUGAAGUUCAUGAGAUUUGUUGCUGUUCAAACGCACACUAUUCACAGAGGUUUGGAGAGCAACUGUCGGGAUACCAGUGGAGCAGCCUGGAGUCCUUUUCUCAUCGUUUUACAGAGAUUUGCCUUUGUAGAGGGAAAAUAGCACAGCUGCUUUUUCAGAUAUACUGAGGCAAAUGUAUUGGAAUGAUGAUUGUGCAGACUUAGUUGUACCAACUUCAAGAAAUCUAUUAGUGUUCUGACCACAGGACUCUUUUUUUCUUGCCAGUACUAUAAGCAAAUAGCCGGUUUUUGUCCAGCUUUUCUUGGUUCCUAUUAAAGAUGUGGCACAUUAGGUCAAUACUCCUUUUUAGUUCAACAGUUCUUGAUACUUGCUAGAUCAAUUUUAAAAACCAAUGUUGUGCAAUGUCCUCUCUUUCAUUUAACUUGCUUGUCUGCUCUAAGGCAAAUCAGGCUGUCAGUGUUGAAAACCAAAUUCCCCCUUUAUUUCAGUGGGGCAUUCUACUUAAUAACAUAUGGCAUCUGGCUCAUUGAUUGACGUUGAAACUGCAUGAGACAUUGAAACAGAAGUCCUAAUCUUUACCCAUCUUCAGAGAUAGCAUGUAAUCACUAAGUGACAGUUUUGUAAAAUGGGAUGUGACCCUAAGAACCCCUCAGUGCCACUUGGCAAGGGGGUUACAAGAAUAUCUUAAUCCUGGUAUGUACAUUCUGGUUACCAAAGAAUGUCAUGUGAGGUCUUAAAUGAAAGCCACGGUCAUACCUUUCAUUAAUAUUCUUGUGAAAUGUAUGUUCAGCUACUGUGUAAGGAGUUAAUGCCACUGAAAACGUCUUCCUAAAUUCUGUAUCGGGUGGAGUUGACACAAUGAAAGCCAUAUAUAGAGAGCCAACUGGGGGAUGUGAAGUUCCUCUGGAACUGGGUUUUAGAUCGCAAUUGGAGAUUAGGCAAUUGGGUCUAAAACCUGUGACCACUGCCCCCUGUACUUUGGGGUUGGUGCCUGUUUCUCUGGUCAUGGUGAAGGACCUGUGUUGAUGGUCCACCCUCAAAGAAAAGAUUCCACUAACAGGAUGUUUCCUCAGUGGUUUGGGAGGAAUUGAGAGACUUUUGCCCUCCCCCAUUGAGGAGCUGGCCACCAGGUGCCCUCUUCAGAGGCUUUGCUGUCACAGGUCUCCCUGACUUACAGAUGAUGCGUGACCUCUGGAGCAAGAGGAAGAUGGCUAGAUGGAUGGGGGCUGGAAAUCUCAUGCUGAGACUGAUUGGUUGAGGCAUAGAAAAUUAUUGCAAUUGGCAUUGUGGUUAUGCAGGAAGCACCAAAAAAAAGUCUUUUCCCUUCAUAAUAUGCACUAAAUCUAGGACAGAAGAUGUUUUAGGUUAUAGUGAGUCUGGUCAAUCUGGAUUUUCUCUCCUCGGUAGCUGGACAGAGUCCUCACCAUCCCAAGGAAAUGUCAUAUUUUACAGACAAGGUCAAGCUGAUUAACGGUGAGUUGUCUGCUUCUGUUGUGGCAGAACAAGGUCUUGAGGGGAAAAAGGCCUUAACUAGUCUGCUACAGUUUCAGCCAGCAAUGCUUCCUGAGGUACUGCAGGUGUGAGAACUUCAUCCCACAACCAAUGCUUUGGAUCUGCAUCCUCUCCUAGCUGGUGAAAGCAAGUGGGGAAGUGAUGGGUCCUUAGCUGGUGCAGAGUGUCAUCAAGCAAUGCGUUCUUGAGCACAGACUGCACUAAAUCUUCGUUAUCCGUAGGCAGCCUGCCCUUCGUUAGAGGGAAUGGGUGUGAUUGUAGAGAAAGUUGUAACAAGACAACUCCCUGUUCCUAGGUGCUUCUGAAGUUCUUGACCCUUGUGAAUGUGAAUAAAAGUCCUAGCGUCAGUAGGGAGUCUCAGUUGGCCCAUGUCCUCCCGGCAGAUCCAGUAUUUAUCUUGGUAUAAGAUCUGUUGGAUCCCUUUAAUAUUGUUGAUCACAAAGUUUUGUUGACUCACCUGCUGACCUUGACUGCUUUUGGUUGGCUUUGUUCUUUCGUUUGAGAGAACACUGGGUAGCUGUGUGGAAUAGCUUCUCUUCCUGAAAAGCUGUCUGGUGUGGGACAUAACAGGGUGUUGUUUCGUUACUCUCCUGUUCAGCAUGCACAUGGGGCCCGGAGAAGAGUUCAUAAGGAGGUAUUGGUUGUGGUGUGUUUCAGAGUGCUGAUGACACCCAAAUGUGCACUUCUCAUCCACUCAUCCAGUUUGAAGAAGGAUGCAGCUCAGCAUCUCAGACAAUCUCAAAUUGAGAUUGGGGCAUGGAUGCGAGUGUGCUGGCUAUAACUCAACCCAGACAAGGUGGAGGGGAUGUUGGGGAAAACAGCCUCAGAAGAUAGCCAAGAUAAUAUCACUUGUUCUGAAGGAGUGUCUGCCAUUGGUCACCAGAGUUUGCAACUUAGAGCAGGUCCACACUACAGCCGGGAUUGACACACUGAGAUCGAUCUACUGGCGGUUGAUUUAGCAGGUCUAGUAAAGACUGCAGAUCACUCUCCAGUUGACCCCUGUACUCUACCCCAGAGAAGAGUAAGGCUCCCAUCAACCCCCCUGCAGUGUACGCCCUGUGGUAACUCGACCUAAGGUACAUUGACUCCAGCUAUGUUAUUCACGUAGCUGGAGUUGCGUAGCAUAGGUUGACUUAGAGGUAGUGUAGACAUAGCCUUUGUAGUGCUUUUUGCACCCCAGCUGUGCUACUGGACGAUCAUAUUACAGCUGUAACCCUGUCAUCUUUUUUAUCAUCUGCACUUGGCCACGAGGUUGUGACCUUUCUGUUUAGAUGCAACCUUGCCACUGUUGUUCACCCCUUUAGCGCCUCAAGGUUAAACUAUCGCAAUGUGGUCUACCUGUGGUGAACCGGACUGCCAUUUUUGGAGACAAAAGCCUGUGCAGAAAGUGGUGCAUCUCUUAGUGAGGAGAGCAUCUCCCAGAGAACAAAUGAUGCCCGGGUGCCAGGGUCUGUGCUGGCUCCUUAUUGGUCUCCAGGUGGAAUUUAAAGGGAUGUUUUCCCUAAAAAGCUCUAAACAGCAUGGGACCACCAACCUGAGACCACUUUCUUUGCCAUACUGCAACAGCUGAGGUGAAUGGGAGUGCUCAAACUGGACGCCCUUCUUAAUUAAAAAAAGGGAGUGGGCUGCUAGCAGGACAUUCUCUAUGAGGGCCUUGGGUCCCCUCUUUGAUCUGAAGUAGGCAUGCUGCAAAAGCCAUUUAUUUGGUAGGGUGUUUGGGGAAGGUUGAGGGUCUGUUCCCAGAUGUGGUAAUGGGAUGGGAAGGCAUUAGAAUUACUGGAUUGGCAAAUCUGAUUUGUUACCCUUAGUUCAAUGCUGCUUGUGAGCUCAGUUUACUCACAACUUGUUAAUGUUGCUGGGCAAGGCUGGAUUAAGGCAUGGACACACUAGGCGCGUGCCUAGGGCUCUGGCUUCUGGAAACAUGAGAUGACCUCAGAAUCUCCACCUGCUUUAAAAACAAACUUCCUACCUCGUAUGCUUUUGAAGUAAAGCUUGAAAACAUGACUAAGUGUAACCAAAUCUGCGGAGAACCUGGAACAGUAGACUGGAGAUGUAUGAACAGCUCCAUGUACCUUGAUGGGAUGUUAAGUCCAUGACCCACUGCUGUGGGGUCUUUGCCAACCCUGCCCAGCACAGGUCUCUGCAAGGCAGGAAAGGAAGAGCCCUGCACUCCUGUGCCCCCAUCCAAGCAGACACACCCUGGCUGCUGAGGUACAUAAUAGGCCCGUCUGUCUGCCAACCCUGCUGCUCCAAGGGGACCUCUGUUGCUGCUUCUGAUCAAUGGGAGUCCCUACUGCCAAUCCUGUCGGGGAGGACGGGGCCCAUACAGCUGCCCUUGCCUCUUGGGAAGGAAUGGGGGGACCCAGGAUAUUGCCACUUCAAGUACCAAUUGGGGCCCUGGUGCAAGGGUUGAAACCCUAUAGGUCCCAUGCUGCAGUGUGCCUGGGGACCCCGGAUUGCCCUCAUUGGGCUCUGCUCCUGGGUGGCCAUUUUGAUGUUCGGGUGACUAGAGCUGUUGGUGUCGGUGGGUUCAAAGUUAAACCAAUACCAUGAAUUGAAUGAAGUAGCUGAAUUCUGUUAUAAAACUUCUUGUGUAACUUCAUACUGCUGGUAGAAUUAUUCUUGUUACUAAAUGUCAUCCGUGUGGUGUUGCAAUCAGGCAGCCUUUAUGCAGGGGUGGGAGGGGUUAUUGUCCCCCUGCUAUUCAUGUCCUCGUUAAAUCAAAUACUGGACAAGAGUAUUGAAGACUUCCCAGCAAGAGAUUUGAUUGUAAGCAGGAUUCUUCUGCUUGUGCCUCUAAUGAGGACAUUCUGAAAUUGGCUAGUUUAUUUCCACCUUCUUUUGUAAGUGUAAAAAAAAAAAAAUCCCUUCCACUGUUUCCCAAUCCAGUUCCUACCAAUGCCCAUGAGACUGCAGCCAAAGAAGCCAAACCUUAAGUUUCCCAUUGGCUCAGAACCUAUCAAGUAGCAGACCACCAGUGCAAGCAAAUAUGAACAUACCAGCAGGGAGACUGCAGUAUAGUGCACUUUAUAGGAACAUAGUUGAGGUGAUAUGCGUCUUUCCUGACUAUGAGCGAUGGUAAAUGGGUACAGAAUUGUGUGGCUUGCAAAACACAUGCAGCAGGUGAGUUAAGUGAGAUAACAGGACUACACUGUAAAGGAAGCAAUACUGUCCUCUAUGCUGCUAUUCAGCUAGCAAGAAGAAUGUUUCAAGGGAUGUCCCUUUAAGAGGAUGGAAUGUUUAAGCCAGAAGGUUCUAUGCAGUCUGGUUUGGGCAGAUAGAGAGCUGAGGAAAGUGCUGUGAGAAGCAUAAUGACCCUUCAGAAGGGUGUCGGGCGUUAUACACAUAAAGAACUGUCAAAGGAGCAAGAGGGAAAAGCAAAUUAUAGAAGGUGAAAGUGAGGUGAAGAACAGGGACAGAGCGAAACAAGAAAAUAGCAGUAGGGAGGAAGUGGUUGCUGUUCAGGAAGGUUUUCAUCUUGGUUCUCCUAGUGGGCAGGGCCAAGGGAAGAGCUCUUAAAAACCAUUGCUGCAUGUAGGCAAAAAUUAAGUUUGAACAAAAAAUGGCAGCAUUUUGUGAUGCUCUAGUCCUGAGAAAUAAGUUACCUAGACUGGAUGCCCUCGUCAGAUACAGGUAAACCAAAACCAGUGCCUACCAGGUUGAUUUUCUUCGAGAUAGGCUCAAUGAGACAGACAACAAGCAUUAGCUUUAAAGUGAACGCUGAGAUCUGGCAGGCUUACUCGUGUGGACUGGUGUUUUCAUCGGAUUGAUUUUUAUUAACUUUUUUAGAAGUACCUAUUCAAGGAGUAUCCUACAUGUUAGUGCUACUUCCAGCAGACCAUCUACUUUCCUAACAGAGGGCCCAGCAAUCGAUUGUAUCGGAGAUGUGUACGUAUGACGCAAACUACAAAACCAAUAUUGUGUGGUGCACAUUUUCAGUGUUCUGCACAUAAGGAAGGGAUCAUUGUUGGCUGACACAGGAUGGAGAGAAGCUAUUAAAGUGCCAUGUUUGAGAGAGGAAAUAACCUAUUUUUCCUGGAUUUUUCAUUUUCUAGCUCUCACACUCAAACCACUGGCAGUGUCUGCAACCUUAACUUUGCCUUAAUGUCUUUUGUUGUGUAGUUGUAUUGGUGUGGUCUCCAAGUACCAUUGUGAGAUAGCCAAGAGGCACUUUACCCUUCUCUGCUUAACAGCAUAUAGCAAUACUACAUGAUUGUUUAGGACAGGCACUAGAGAAAUAUACUGUGUCAGGCUGAAACCAUAAGGGGAAGGCAGCAGAAUAAUUACAGUACCAGAAGUUGGAAUUCAGAUAGGGAGCCAAGGUUAAUCAUAGAAAUGUAGGGCUGGAAGGGACCUCAAUAGAUUGUCUAUUCCAUCCCCUGAGGCAGAUCCAGGUAAACCUAGAUUGUAUCUGACAGGAGUUUGUCUAACCUGUUCUUACAAACCUCUAGUGAUGGUGAUUCCACAAUCUUGAUUGGAAACCUAUUCCAGAGUUUAACUACACUUAGAGUUUUUUUCCUAAUAUUUAACAUUAAUCUCCUUUGCUGAAGAUUAAGCUGAUUACUUCUUGACCUACCUUCAGUGGUCAUGAAGAACAAUCAACCAAAUUUUUAUAACAGCCCUUAACAUAUUUGAAGACUUACCAGGUCCUCCCUCAGUCUUCCUUUUGAAAACUAAACAGUUUUCUUAAGCUUUCCCUGAAAGGUCUUUUUUCAAACCUUUCAUCAUUUUUGUUGCUCUCCUCUGGACUCUCUCCAAUUGUCCACAUCUUUCCUAAAGUGUGGCGCCCAAAACUGAACAUAUGACUCCAACUGAGGCAUCACCAAUGCUGAAUAGAGUGGGAUAAUUACCUUCCCUUUUACAUACAACACUCCAGUUAAUCCAGGAGGAGUUAAUCCUUUUAAUACACCCCAGAAUAUUAGUCGUUUUUGCAACUGCAUCACGUUGUUGAUUCAAUUAGUUUGCUUGUGCGAAUGUCAUGUGGGACUGUGUCAAAAGCCUUACUAAAAUCAAGAUGCAUCCACAUCUACAGCUUCCCCCAUCCACUAAGCCAGUAACCCUGUCAAAAAGAGGAAAUUAACCUUUUUAGUGAAGACUGAAGCAAAAUAGGCAUUAAACACUUCAGCCUUCUUGAUGUCGUCAUCAGCUAUUAGCUCUCCUUCCCCGCUCAGUAGAGGACCACACUUUUCUUUGCCUUUUUCUUGCUCUUCUUACUACCUUUCACGUCCCUUGCUAGGUGUAACUCAUUUUGUGCCUUAGCCUGUCUGAUUUUGUCCCUACGUGCUUGUGCUUUUCUUUUAUACUCAUCCUUGCCAAUUUGUCCAUGUUUCCACUUUUUGUAGGAUUCUUCUUUGAUUUUCAGGUUACUAAAGAGCUCCUGGUGGAGCCAUAUUGGCCUCUUCCUAUCUUUCCUUUGCAUCGGGAUACUUUUGUUGUUGUGCCUUUAAUAUGGUCUCUGAGAAACUGCCAGCUCUCAAACUCUUUUUCCCUUAGAUUUUCUUCCCUUGGGACUAUAUCUACCAGUUCUGAGUUUGUUAGAGACUGCUUUUUUGAAGUCCAUUGUUCUUAUUCUGUAGCUCACUCCUUUUCUGUAACUGGCUUCAGAAAAGAAUUAGAUAAGUUCAUGGAAGAUAGCCAUUGAUGGACCUAUUAGCCAAGAUAGUCAGGGAAGCAACUGCAUGCUCUGCAUGUCUGUGAUCCCCAUUGAGUCAUAAUUUAUGUAUUAACACUUCCAGUUUUUCCUGUUUUUUUCCCCCAUACUCCUUGCAUUUGCAUAUAGACAUCUAUGGUGAGCGGAUUCCCCCAGUGAUUUACUACUUGUUCCUAUGACACUACUGUAGUUUUCCAUUCCCUCACAACAGAAAGUCCUCUAUCACCUUAUUUUUUUAUACCUACCUAUUGCCUUUUGUCACCUGCCCCUUUGGAACCUAGUUUAAAGCCCUCUUCACUAGUUUGAUGAGUUUGUGUCCAAAGAUACUCUCUGUUCUUGGUCACGCGGACCCCAUCUCUUCCCUAGAGCAGCAUCACAUGGUCAAGGAAGCCAAAGCCCUCGCAUAGACACCAUCUAGAGAGGGUCCAGACUUAUCAUCCACCUUCAGCAGCAGAGUGCCCUACCAAUACCUUUCAGAGAUAUGGGAUCAGGACAGAUACAGGAAGAGCAAUAUCAACUGCUGAACGACCAGCAUUUCUUCCUGAAGUACUUGGAAGCCUUCAAUAUAAGUGCUAACCCACCUUAAUGCUGGAGUGUUUGGAAGAACUGAUGUGGUCACAGCACAAAAUGGUAUAGCUAGAGAACAUGCAUGGUGUAAACGAGUUAUUUAAAGACUACAGUUUUGAUAAUACAAUUUUAGAUUAGCAAUGUGAAAUCACUCAAUUUCCAGUAAAUGUGCUCAUUUGUAUGGAGUGCAGCAAAUGUAGAUUAUCUGAAACAAAGGCCCUGAGAUCACAUAGUGUUCCUAUUUGUUUGAUGCAAAGCAUUAUAUAAUUCAUUUCUGUAUGCGACUGAAAAAUGCUCUUAAGUAUAAAGGAAACUUGGCUUCUCUGUUAAUGUUUUACAUGCUGCUGAAUGUUUAAAUAAAAAUACUCUUCAUUGGUUGUUAA
This is a long non-coding RNA of Chelonia mydas (Green sea turtle), 11934 nucleotides long. RefSeq lists it as uncharacterized. Lineage: Eukaryota; Metazoa; Chordata; Testudines; Cheloniidae. The record is from RefSeq and is a predicted model, not a curated record. The transcript is spliced from 2 exons.